Molecule: ribosomal RNA, 397 nt
Filed under: uncultured bacterium
Lineage: Bacteria
Description: partial 16S ribosomal RNA
Rfam family: Bacterial small subunit ribosomal RNA
Source: RNAcentral
AUACGUAGGGGGCGAGCGUUGUCCGGAAUGAUUGGGCGUAAAGGGCGCGUAGGCGGCGCGGUAAGUCUGGAGUGAAAGUCCUGCUUUCAAGGUGGGAAUUGCUUUGGAUACUGCCGCGCUUGAGUGCAGGAGAGGUUAUCGGAAUUCCCGGUGUAGCGGUGAAAUGCGUAGAGAUCGGGAGGAACACCAGUGGCGAAGGCGGGUAACUGGACUGCAACUGACGCUGAGGCGCGAAAGUGUGGGGAGCAAACAGGAUUAGAGACCCUGUUAGUCCACACUGUAAACGAUGAAUGCUAGGUGUAAGAGGUAUCGACCCCUUUUGUGCCGGAGUCAACACAAUAAGCAUUCCGCCUGGGGAGUACGGCCGCAAGGUUGAAACUCAAAGGAAUUGACGGGG